ACGCUCGACACCUACGGGGGGCAGCAGUGGGGGAUAUUGCACAAUGGAGGAAACUCUGAUGCAGCGACGCCGCGUGAGGGAAGACGGUUUUCGGAUUGUAAACCUCUGUCUUCAGGGACGAAAUGAAUGACGGUACCUGAGGAGGAAGCUCCGGCUAACUACGUGCCAGCAGUCGCGGUAAUCUGAGCGGGCUGGCAAGGC
This 201-nucleotide ribosomal RNA is filed under the name uncultured bacterium. RNAcentral's name for it is "partial 16S ribosomal RNA". It matches the Rfam family "Bacterial small subunit ribosomal RNA", at positions 328 to 539 of the family's 1533-position model. The record is from RNAcentral.